UACGGGGGGGGCAAGCGUUGUUCGGAAUUACUGGGCGUAAAGGGCUUGUAGGCGGCCAACUAAGUCAUACGUGAAAUCCCUCGGCUUAACCGGGGAACUGCGUCUGAUACUGGAUGGCUUGAGAUUGGGAGAGGGAUGCGGAAUUCCAGGUGUAGCGGUGAAAUGCGUAGAUAUCUGGAGGAACACCGGUGGCGAAGGCGGCAUCCUGGACCAACACUGACGCUGAGGAGCGAAAGCCAGGGGAGCAAACGGG
This 253-nucleotide ribosomal RNA is filed under the name uncultured bacterium. RNAcentral's name for it is "partial 16S ribosomal RNA". It matches the Rfam family "Bacterial small subunit ribosomal RNA", at positions 524 to 776 of the family's 1533-position model. The record is from RNAcentral.